GGAGUUGGUUAGGCAGUCGCUGUAUUGUUGAUACGAUAUAGAGGAAAGUCCGGGCUUCAUAGGACAGGGUGCCAGGUAACGCCUGGGAGGCGUGAGCCUACGGAAAGUGCCACAGAAAAUAUACCGCCUUUUUUCAGUGAACAGUGAACAGUUAUCAGUUUAUUGGUAGCGCGUUACGGGUAAUUGGAUUAGGUAAGGGUGAAAAGGUGUCGGUAAGAGCGCACCGCGUUGUUGGUAACAUCAAUGGCAGGGUAAACCCCACCUGAAGCAAGACCAAAUAAUGGAACCGUAUUUAAUUAUACAGAUGUGGUCCGCAUCGUUCCAGGGUAGGUCGCAAGAGGUGCUUGGUGACAAGCAUCCCAGAUGAAUGGCUGCUACAUGGGUUAGCCUAUUCCUUUGAAAAAAGGGAGAAUUUAGCCCGUGGACAGAACCCGGCUUACAACUAACUCCUUCC
This 454-nucleotide RNase P RNA is filed under the name Candidatus Parabeggiatoa communis. RNAcentral's name for it is "RNase P RNA component class A". It matches the Rfam family "Bacterial RNase P class A". From Rfam's summary of the family: Ribonuclease P (RNase P) is a ubiquitous endoribonuclease, found in archaea, bacteria and eukarya as well as chloroplasts and mitochondria. Lineage: Bacteria; Pseudomonadati; Pseudomonadota; Gammaproteobacteria; Thiotrichales; Thiotrichaceae. RNAcentral also lists the same sequence under 1 other name. The record is from RNAcentral.